This is a long non-coding RNA of Antechinus flavipes (yellow-footed antechinus), 1128 nucleotides long. RefSeq lists it as uncharacterized. The record is from RefSeq and is a predicted model, not a curated record. Lineage: Eukaryota; Metazoa; Chordata; Mammalia; Dasyuromorphia; Dasyuridae. The transcript is spliced from 2 exons.
GAGCGCUGUCGGGCACACUCCCGUCCCAGGGCCCUCCUGCCCCGUGGGCUCCGCUUUCCCCUCCCCCUGCCUUGGAGGAGAGGGAGGGACUCUGGGAAACCGCGGCCAGUUCUGUGUCACCUCCCAUUAACUUCCCCGGGAGCUGAGAUUCCCACGCACAGCUCGGCCUUGUCCCCCAAGUCCCGGGCCCUCCGUGGCGGAAAGACGCCGCACCCGCUGCUUCCGACUAGAGGCCCGCUCAGACGCUGGGGGUGCGGCUGGGAUUGGGGCCGGGCACUAAGUGUUAGCGGGCGCAGAGGAGGCCAGAACCCGGACCCAUAACAGCGGCCCACCAGACCGCGAGAACCGACCGGAGGGAAUCCCAGAAGGGGGCGAGGAAGGUCUCGGGUAGUGGGCCUGUAGCUGGAACCGGAAGGAAGUGAGGAACGACAGGGCGUGGAGAUGGGGGAGGGGGGAGACAACUGGAGGCAGGAAAUCCAGCCCGUAAAACCGUCCGGAGCCCGGUGGGGCGCCUUGUGCCCGCGCCUCUGCGGGGAGGAGGGGGCUUGUGGAGGCCGUGGCAGCUUCUGAAGGCCUGGAGGCGAUAAGGACCCCCGGCUGGUUCUUGAGGAGGAGAGUUCGGAGUCAAACCCCCGCCUGAGGAAAGUCCUUCAAUAGCUGAGUGGGAAUCAUUCUAGAAAACAAGGCCGGGAAGUUAGCUCUGGAGUCAGGAGGUUCAAAUGUGCUCUCCAGGCACUUGACACUUACUGUGUGACCUUAGUUGGAGAUGUUUCAGGAAGCCAGGUCUUUGAGAACUAGAGCAGAUACUGCCGCCCCUUUUAAUGUCAUACCCGAAGAUUAUUCAGCCUCGUGGGCACAGGAUCCAUGUGACGGCGCAGCCAGCAGCUAGAGCCACAAGUCAGCCGUGCUACGGGACUCUGCCAAUUGGCUGACGGUCACAGCCGCAGAUCACUCCCCCGUGGAAACGGGUCCCAGGGGCCCCAACGCCAACUUGACCUUCCUUGGGCACACGGUAUAUUACAUAAUCGCCGGGCCACAGCCCUGUCAGUCAGAGCAAAUUCACCAAGACUGAGCUCACUUGUAUUGAUAUUGGUUUUAGCUUUUUUUUCCAUUAAAAAAAAAAGUGAA